RNAcentral lists this ribosomal RNA (244 nucleotides) under uncultured Staphylococcus sp. Its description in RNAcentral is "partial 16S ribosomal RNA". It matches the Rfam family "Bacterial small subunit ribosomal RNA", at positions 96 to 334 of the family's 1533-position model. The record is from RNAcentral. Lineage: Bacteria; Bacillati; Bacillota; Bacilli; Caryophanales; Staphylococcaceae.
CGGCGGACGGGUGAGUAACACGUGGAUAACCUACCUAUAAGACUGGGAUAACUUCGGGAAACCGGAGCUAAUACCGGAUAAUAUAUUGAACCGCAUGGUUCAAUAGUGAAAGACGGUUUUGCGGUCACUUAUAGAUGGAUCCGCGCCGCAUUAGCUAGUUGGUAAGGUAACGGCUUACCAAGGCAACGAUGCGUAGCCGACCUGAGAGGGUGAUCGGCCACACUGGAACUGAGACACGGUCCAG